Molecule: ribosomal RNA, 268 nt
Filed under: uncultured bacterium
Lineage: Bacteria
Description: partial 16S ribosomal RNA
Rfam family: Bacterial small subunit ribosomal RNA
Source: RNAcentral
GACGAACGCUGGCGGCGUGCUUAACACAUGCAAGUCGAGCGGUAAGGCCCUUUCGGGGGUACACGAGCGGCGAACGGGUGAGUAACACGUGGGUGACCUGCCCUCAGCUCUGGGAUAAGCCUGGGAAACCGGGUCUAAUACUGGAUAUGACUCCAUGACGCAUGUUGUGGGGUGGAAAGCCUUGUGCGGCUGAGGAUGGGCCCGCGGCCUAUCAGCUUGUUGGUGGGGUGAUGGCCUACCAAGGCGACGACGGGUAGCCGGCCUGAGA